UCAAUGCUACUGUACAUAAUUAGCUACAGACCACAGGGACUGAUCAGGGGACGCUGCCAGGCCAAUGAAUUAAUUACAAGUUAACAUGAUCAUUUAUUAUAAAAGGUGGUAUUUUUUUUAUCUGCGGCCGUAACUAGGUGCAGCUAUUUUUUAAUAGUUGUAUUCAAAAUAUAUAUAAAUGUAUAUAUGAAUAAUGAGAUAUCUUUCAACUUACUAGGAACCCUGUGUGUUACAGUUUGCUGAACAACUUGUGUUGGUUAUUGGCAAGGUUGUCAGGAGCUUCAUUCAAUGCAGAUUAUUGAUUACAGUGAUGAUUGUUCAAUUCAAAACACAAUAGAUUGGCUAAGCAGCCCUUAGUGUAUGAGUCAUAAUUGAUAGCAUACACGGCCUAGUGUGUCAAUCAUAACUUCCUCCACACUAUCACAAUAUGGACAUCCUGUGUGUUGUUUAUUUGAUGGAGAGCAGUGUAGACCUGUAGUAUAUGAAUAACAUUAUUUAUUAUGAUACAUUAAUAUACUAGCAUGAAACUAUUGAAUGCCUCUUCAACUAGUGGAGCUCCUUGUUUGUUGCAAGAUUGAAUAAUUCAGCUGCACUAAUGCACUGCAUAACAAUGCCUAUCAGCUCCCAGAUGUUGCAGAGACAAGAUAUUUUCUGCAACCGCCCUUUAUUUACCAGCAUCUUUGCCCAUUAUAGUUACAUGUAGGAAGUUAUAUCUGUUGUGUGUAAGAACAUGGUCAAGAUAUGAAGUUUCUACAUUUAUUAUGAGUAAUUAAAUUUAGUAUUUUUUAAUUUAGUGGCAGUUAUUCUGGUCACAGAUAACAACUAGCACUGAAUACAUGAACGGAAUCAUAUUGUUACAACAAGCUGACCAUUAGUUCAAACAUUAUUUAAUUUAUUAUAUUAUAUUGAUUAUGUUCAUACAUUAUUACUGAACAACACAUCCAUGAGUACAGCUACAUUUUAAUUUAGGUUUUAAUAAAUAAAUACACCCUUGAACUGUA
Molecule: long non-coding RNA, 1001 nt
Organism: Galleria mellonella (greater wax moth)
Lineage: Eukaryota; Metazoa; Arthropoda; Insecta; Lepidoptera; Pyralidae
Exons: 2
Source: RefSeq, a predicted model, not a curated record